GCACAGAAGCAGGGGCAGGGGCAGAUGCAGGUGCGGAUGCAGGGGCAGGCAUAGAAACAGGCACAGUUGUAGGCAGGAUAGGCACAUUAACAGGUGAAGGUCCAACCGGGGCAAGCAGCUCAGGUGCAGGUGCAGGCACACUAACAGAAGGCACAAAAGCAGCAGCAGUGGCACUGGACAUGGGAACAUCAACGACAAGGUUUGCAGGAGCUGCUGCAGGCAUAGAGGUAGCAACUACUAGAGCAGGCUGAGAUUUCUUGGGCUCUGGAACAUCACUCGGAUAGAAGUGGAACUCUUUAGUGCGUUUGGCAUGUGCACUAAGGGCUGGGUCAACAGGCUCAAUGUUCACAUCAAUUAGGCUAGUUGUGUUUGCACUACUGCCUUCUGGUGGCAGAUUCAGAUUAAUAGCAGUGUUCCUGUUAUUGUCAUUAACAAAGGAAGGAUCUUCCACCUACAG
RNAcentral lists this long non-coding RNA (457 nucleotides) under Setaria italica (foxtail millet). RNAcentral's name for it is "long non-coding RNA (SITA_LNC000532)". Lineage: Eukaryota; Viridiplantae; Streptophyta; Magnoliopsida; Poales; Poaceae. The record is from RNAcentral.